Molecule: ribosomal RNA, 407 nt
Filed under: Verrucomicrobiota bacterium
Lineage: Bacteria; Pseudomonadati; Verrucomicrobiota
Description: Verrucomicrobia bacterium partial 16S ribosomal RNA
Rfam family: Bacterial small subunit ribosomal RNA
Source: RNAcentral
UGAGGAAUAUUGGUCAAUGGAGGAAACUCUGAUACAGCAAUUCUGUGUGUGUGAAGAAGGUUUUAGGACUGUAAAACACUUUUAGUAGGGAAGAAAAAAAUGACGGUACCUACAGAAGAAGCAACGGCUAAAUACGUGCCAGCAGCCGCGGUAAUACGUAUGUUGCGAGCGUUAUCCGGAAUUAUUGGGCUUAAAGGGCAUCUAGGCGGUAAGACAAGUUGAAGGUGAAAACCUGUGGCUCAACCAUAGGCUUGCCUACAAAACUGUUGAACUAGAGUACUGGAAAGGUGGGUGGAACUACACGAGUAGAGGUGAAAUUCGUAGAUAUGUGUAGGAAUGCCGAUGAUGAAGAUAACUCACUGGACAGAAACUGACGCUGAAGUGCGAAAGCUAGGGGAGCAAACAGG